CCGUAGCUCAGCCUGGAUAGAGCAGCGGACUUCGAAUCCGUGAGUCGCAGGUUCAAAUCCUGCCGGG
RNAcentral lists this transfer RNA (67 nucleotides) under marine eukaryotic metagenome. It matches the Rfam family "tRNA", at positions 5 to 66 of the family's 71-position model. From Rfam's summary of the family: Transfer RNA (tRNA) molecules are approximately 80 nucleotides in length. Their secondary structure includes four short double-helical elements and three loops (D, anti-codon, and T loops). The record is from RNAcentral.